Molecule: non-coding RNA, 997 nt
Organism: Phalacrocorax carbo (great cormorant)
Lineage: Eukaryota; Metazoa; Chordata; Aves; Suliformes; Phalacrocoracidae
Source: RefSeq, a predicted model, not a curated record
CACAAUGCACAGCACUGGAAGCUUGCGAGCUCGAUGAACAGAGCUAGGGCUUGGUGAAGGCCUUGACUGCUCACAGUUACUGCUGUGAAUGACAGAACUGGAAACCAUCAGGCAGUGGUAUUUUACAGCGUUAAGAGCAUUUAUGUCAAGGUAAGAAAAGGAAAGCCAUUCUAAUAGCAGAGGAGCAAGCCUGUAAUAACACUGGCAACGUAGACUGAAUAGACCCCAUUUCUGAAAUACCACCAGGGCAUAAGUGGCAAGAACUGGACAUACUCUACAUGUGUGCCUCUAAAGAAAAAGCAAAGGAUAGUGUCAGAGCUAUCCAUCAACUUAGCGUGACUGAGAGGUGGGGAGAGGUAAUGUGUUAAGAUAUGAUCAAUUUUAAAAGCUCAGCUUUGGCUACUAUAGUUCAGGCUAAAAACCACCCAAUCCACUGGGAAAGAUGGAAAGUUUUGGGAGUGAAUAACAAGGAUUUUAACAAACUCUGAACUAUGACUUUUCAGAAAAGAAGAGGCACAGAAGACAAUCGCCCACAGGCUUCGAUUAACAACAUGUACAAUACCCACAGUAUUUGUGAAAUGAAAGCAAGCACCAAGUUCGCCUACAGAGGUCACUCUUGAGUAACUCCAGGCACACACUGAAGUACCUCGUGGAAACAAUCUUGGUGGCCAAGACAGAAAACUCAACAGGUUACCCACGAAGAACCUGCACUCACAGCAUACUUAACGUACCUCCAGACUGCUGUAAAAGGGUAGGAAUAACCACAGCAGCACAAAUCAUCCUCCCAACAUCUGGGACAAGUGGGACAGAAGAAGAUACCUAAUUACAUAUCCUGAAAAAAGCAAGCAUACCUAAAGUAAGACAUGAAAAGUGAACAAUCUGCCUGUAUAUAAUGUAUAACCCCUGGGAAGGGUGCCACACAUAUGAAAAUAAGAACAGAAUCUGAGAAGCAAUCUCUUCAACAUGCCCCAAAACUAAACAACGAAAAAUCCUGAAU